GGAGGGGGAAGCCGAGAGGGACCAGGGCGCCGUGGGCAGGAAGGAGGCUGAGGGUGAGGAGGGAGAGGAGGAGCCGCAGGAGCUGGAGCUGGACGAGG
This 98-nucleotide microRNA precursor is filed under the name Myotis lucifugus (little brown bat). Its description in RNAcentral is "miRNA (ENSMLUG00000027837.1)". Lineage: Eukaryota; Metazoa; Chordata; Mammalia; Chiroptera; Vespertilionidae. The record is from RNAcentral.